This 67-nucleotide transfer RNA is filed under the name Ectropis obliqua. RNAcentral's name for it is "tRNA-Ala". It matches the Rfam family "tRNA". From Rfam's summary of the family: Transfer RNA (tRNA) molecules are approximately 80 nucleotides in length. Their secondary structure includes four short double-helical elements and three loops (D, anti-codon, and T loops). Further hydrogen bonds mediate the characteristic L-shaped molecular structure. tRNAs have two regions of fundamental functional importance: the anti-codon, which is responsible for specific mRNA codon recognition, and the 3' end, to which the tRNAs corresponding amino acid is attached (by aminoacyl-tRNA synthetases). tRNAs cope with the degeneracy of the genetic code in two manners: having more than one tRNA (with a specific anti-codon) for a particular amino acid; and 'wobble' base-pairing, i.e. permitting non-standard base-pairing at the 3rd anti-codon position. The record is from RNAcentral. Lineage: Eukaryota; Metazoa; Arthropoda; Insecta; Lepidoptera; Geometridae.
AGGAUUAUAGUUUAAGAAAAACACUUGAUUUGCAUUCAAACAAUAUUGAAACUAUCAAUUAAUCUUA